GUGGGGAAUAUUGGACAAUGGGCGAAAGCCUGAUCCAGCCAUGCCGCGUGUGUGAAGAAGGUCUUCGGAUUGUAAAGCACUUUAAGUUGGGAGGAAGGGCAGUAAGUUAAUACCUUGCUGUUUUGACGUUACCGACAGAAUAAGCACCGGCUAACUUCGUGCCAGCAGCCGCGGUAAUACGAAGGGUGCAAGCGUUAAUCGGAAUUACUGGGCGUAAAGCGCGCGUAGGUGGUUUUGUAAGUUGGAGGUGAAAUCCCCGGGCUCAACCUGGGAACUGCCUCCAAAACUGCAUGACUAGAGUACGGUAGAGGGUAGUGGAAGUUCCUGUGUAGCGGUGAAAUGCGUAGAUAUAGGAAGGAACACCAGUGGCGAAGGCGACUACCUGGACUGAUACUGACACUGAGGUGCGAAAGCGUGGGGAGCAAACAGGAUUAGAAACCCGUGUAGUCC
This 450-nucleotide ribosomal RNA is filed under the name uncultured bacterium. RNAcentral's name for it is "bacterial SSU rRNA". It matches the Rfam family "Bacterial small subunit ribosomal RNA", at positions 354 to 796 of the family's 1533-position model. The record is from RNAcentral.